ACUCCUACGGGAGGCAGCAGUGGGGAAUAUUGCACAAUGGGCGCAAGCCUGAUGCAGCCAUGCCGCGUGUGUGAAGAAGGCCUUCGGGUUGUAAAGCACUUUCAGUUGUGAGGAAAGGUUAGUCGCUAAUAUCGGCUAGCUGUGACGUUAGCAACAGAAGAAGCACCGGCUAACGUCCGUGCCAGCAGCCGCGGUAAUACGGAGGGUGCGAGCGUUAAUCGGAAUUACUGGGCGUAAAGCGCGUGUAGGUGGCUUGUUAAGCCAGAUGUGAAAGCCCCGGGCUCAA
RNAcentral lists this ribosomal RNA (286 nucleotides) under uncultured bacterium. RNAcentral describes it as "partial 16S ribosomal RNA". It matches the Rfam family "Bacterial small subunit ribosomal RNA", at positions 335 to 612 of the family's 1533-position model. The record is from RNAcentral.